UGAGGAAUAUUGCACAAUGGGCGCAAGCCUGAUGCAGCGACGCCGCGUGUGGGAUGAAGGGGCUACGCCUCGUAAACCACUGUAGCCCGGGACGAAAAACGCCUUAGAGGCGUUAGACGGUACCGGGAAAGUAAGGGUCGGCUAACUCCGUGCCAGCAGCCGCGGUAAUACGGAGGGUGCAAGCGUUAUCCGGAUUUACUGGGUUUAAAGGGUGCGUAGGCGGAUGAAUAAGUCAGUGGUGAAAUCUCCGGGCUUAACUCGGAAACUGCCGUUGAUACUAUUUGUCUUGAAUAUUGUGGAGGUAAGCGGAAUAUGUCAUGUAGCGGUGAAAUGCUUAGAUAUGACAUAGAACACCAAUUGCGAAGGCAGCUUGCUACACAAUCAUUGACGCUGAGGCACGAAAGCGUGGGGAUCAAACA
This 419-nucleotide ribosomal RNA is filed under the name uncultured bacterium. RNAcentral's name for it is "bacterial SSU rRNA". It matches the Rfam family "Bacterial small subunit ribosomal RNA", at positions 355 to 774 of the family's 1533-position model. The record is from RNAcentral.